This is a long non-coding RNA of Cyprinus carpio carpio, 2124 nucleotides long. The record is from Ensembl. Lineage: Eukaryota; Metazoa; Chordata; Actinopteri; Cypriniformes; Cyprinidae.
CUCCAAACUGAAAGCAUUGGUUGAGCGAAUUGUCAUGUCAGAACAGUCAAGAAAACCAUGAUACUUAAACCAUUAAACUGAGAAAAUAUAUUAAAUAAGGCUUUGAAGGAAGGUCACGGUGACAUGUUGCUCGGAGAAAAACACAAUGAGUGCCUGGCAAAAGCCUCUGAGCAUGUGUUGGUCAGAAGUCGAUUGCGUUAUUGCAGCCAUCAAUCACUAGUCUGUGGUGUAUAAAAAUAGGUCCAGGUUGCCAAAUAGCAAAAACUGGUAAUGUCUUGUCAUGCUCACUGCCCACUGUCACUCUCUCUCUAAAAUAAGCUUGAGCUUAAUUCACUGCUCAGUAAAAAAUCAAGGUUUCAGUAGAGCUUCUGCUGCUCUCCUCUCUCUUCCUGGGUGCAAAAGAUGUUAUGAACUGUUAUGUACAGAAAAUGAAACUCAUACAGGUCCGGAACAACUUCAGGACAAAACAGAUAUUUGCUGACAGGAUCUGGCAUCCGGGCCUGGAUCUGAUCAUUCUGGUGUGGAGGUAUGAUCUAACACAAUCCUACUUGAGGAUGUGAAGAUGAAGAGAACACAAGUCAGAGAAAAGAAGAUAAAUGAAGAAGAAGAGAAAAGGUGGGACAAAGCAGAGCCUUUUGAAGAAAUAAAAGCAGAUACUGAGUUACCGGAGGAGUACUAUCAUGGGCUUGAGGAUUUACCCUGGAACCUGAACUUACUGGAGCAUUUACUGUAUAUCAGCAUGCCAGCUUGGAUACAAAGAGCUCUGCUUUGUAAUUUAAUUGAGCGGUUUGGCAUCUGGACCUUUCACAACAACAUCCUGCCGUGUCGUCUCAUUUCCUACACCCUACUGCCGUACACUCUGCCUGCUUCAGCUGUCAUCUCAUUCAUCUAUAGGUUUUUAUGCUGGGUGGAGAAAAUUCCCCACCAGGCUCUGAAUGCAGGCAGGGAAUUCAAACAGGAAGUGAUGGCACAUCUGUGGUUAGUCUUUACACACUUGAGAGGACUUUUGCCAAACAGAUUCCUGCUUUUGCAAAUUCCAACUUUGCACCCCACUCUUGCUCUGUUUCUUCCACCCUGGUCCUGUUUCCCAUCUCUUUCUUUUACAUUCCUUCCUUGGUCCUCUUUCCCUUUACCUUCUCUUGCUUUGCAUUUUCUGCCACGGUGUCUAUCCACUUCAACCUCAAAGAAGCAGCUGGAGCUCAGGAGCCAGACUCAGCCUCUCUGGUCUAGACAACGAUCUCUCCUCUGCUUCCAGCUCACCGGAUCUGGCGGUUUCUCCAAAAAGACAGCUGACAUCCUUACAGAUGCAGAGCCACUAUCUUCAGCCUUCCUCCUGCAGCUCAACUUAAAGUUAGAAAUGGGCAGCCAUCCUGAACCACUACAGCUUCAGAAGGACCGACUUGAUUGUGAGGGAAGUUUAUUACUGAACACAGAAGUAGAUGACAAUCUCUCUUCUCCUUUUAUUUCUGACAUGGAUGUACAAGAGGAAGACUGAAUGACUUGUUAUGAAUGUUAUAUUACAAACAGAAGUCUCUACUGCAGAAUAGUUGAAUAUGCGGUGUAUUCUCUGAAUAUGCCAAUGUAUACAUAUCAGUGUUGUUAUUAUAAUUAAUUGAAAACUGAAAUAACAAAUUUUAGAUAAACCUAACAAGAACAAAAAAAAAAAAGAGAAAUGUUGAUUUGAGAAUUAAAGGAAAAUAAGUUACUAAAGUACGAAAAUUACUAAAACAAAAGCUAUAAAGAAAUAAUAAUAAUAAUAAAAAUCCAAUAAAAAUGACUGAAUGUAGUAAGAAUUUAGUAAAAAUAUAAUAAACAUGCCACAGUGAUAUUUUGUUUUAUGAAUGUGAGACUGUUAUAAUCUAAUAAAUGCAUUAUCAGGUGGGAUUGGGACAGACUGAUUUCACUGUGCAUAUUGUUUAUUAAAAAGAAAAAUGAUUAAAUUAAGGAUGGAUCAAAUAGAUCAAUGAAAAUAACAUUGCACAAUUUAGCAUUAAACUAGGCUAUAUCAGCCAAUAGCUGGCUGUAAUUUAUUUAUUUUUUUUUGGUCAUUCCUAACUAAAUUUGCUAUGCUCAUUAUUUAAAAUCAUUAAUAAUUUAAAUUGAUAAUUAUUUGGUAUUAAAAAA